GGAAGUAAAAAUCGUAACAAGGUCUCCGUUGGUGAACCAGCGGAGGGAUCAUUACAGAGUUGCAAAACUCCCUAAACCAUUGUGAACGUUACCUAUACCGUUGCUUCGGCGGGCGGCCCCGGGGUUUACCCCCCGGGCGCCCCUGGGCCCCACCGCGGGCGCCCGCCGGAGGUCACCAAACUCUUGAUAAUUUAUGGCCUCUCUGAGUCUUCUGUACUGAAUAAGUCAAAACUUUCAACAACGGAUCUCUUGGUUCUGGCAUCGAUGAAGAACGCAGCGAAAUGCGAUAAGUAAUGUGAAUUGCAGAAUUCAGUGAAUCAUCGAAUCUUUGAACGCACAUUGCGCCCGCCAGCAUUCUGGCGGGCAUGCCUGUUCGAGCGUCAUUUCAACCAUCAAGCCCCCGGGCUUGUGUUGGGGACCUGCGGCUGCCGCAGGCCCUGAAAAGCAGUGGCGGGCUCGCUGUCGCACCGAGCGUAGUAGCAUACAUCUCGCUCUGGUCGCGCCGCGGGUUCCGGCCGUUAAACCCACCCUUUUUUA
This 537-nucleotide ribosomal RNA is filed under the name Chaetomium globosum. RNAcentral's name for it is "eukaryotic LSU rRNA". The stretch from base 230 to 383 matches the Rfam family "5.8S ribosomal RNA". The record is from RNAcentral. Lineage: Eukaryota; Fungi; Ascomycota; Sordariomycetes; Sordariales; Chaetomiaceae.